CUCAACCCACUCCCAUCCAACCUCACCACCCAAGUUCGCCGUGAACACCAACCACUCUCCCUUGCGGCUGAAACACACGUGGUUCAACCUCUCCUUCAUUCCCCUUUAACUGCGCCAACUAUGUACAAGUUCUUAUGCCCCCGACCUCCCAGACCGAAACACAACACUCUUCAACAAUUGCAUAACAGAAUAUGCAAAAUAGGUGCAUUCAAUAGUAAUACAAUAAUGUUUACAUAUCACAUAUCAUUCCAUUUUCAGUCCAAAAAAAAUAAAUCUUUCCAUUUACAUAAAAAAAUAUCAUUCCAUUAACAAAUAUAAUAUUUAAUCCCAAGUAAGAAAAUUCCAUUCCCGGCUCAAUUAAAACCAAA
RNAcentral lists this long non-coding RNA (368 nucleotides) under Glycine max (soybean). Its description in RNAcentral is "long non-coding RNA (GMAX_LNC000308)". Lineage: Eukaryota; Viridiplantae; Streptophyta; Magnoliopsida; Fabales; Fabaceae. The record is from RNAcentral.